Molecule: ribosomal RNA, 465 nt
Filed under: Vreelandella stevensii
Lineage: Bacteria; Pseudomonadati; Pseudomonadota; Gammaproteobacteria; Oceanospirillales; Halomonadaceae
Description: partial 16S ribosomal RNA
Rfam family: Bacterial small subunit ribosomal RNA
Source: RNAcentral
CCUACGGGGGGCAGCAGUGGGGAAUAUUGGACAAUGGGGGCAACCCUGAUCCAGCCAUGCCGCGUGUGUGAAGAAGGCCCUCGGGUUGUAAAGCACUUUCAGUGAGGAAGAACGCCUGGUGGUUAAUACCCAUCAGGAAAGACAUCACUCACAGAAGAAGCACCGGCUAACUCCGUGCCAGCAGCCGCGGUAAUACGGAGGGUGCGAGCGUUAAUCGGAAUUACUGGGCGUAAAGCGCGCGUAGGUGACUUGAUAAGCCGGUUGUGAAAGCCCCGGGCUCAACCUGGGAACGGCAUCCGGAACUGUCAAGCUAGAGUGCAGGAGAGGAAGGUAGAAUUCCCGGUGUAGCGGUGAAAUGCGUAGAGAUCGGGAGGAAUACCAGUGGCGAAGGCGGCCUUCUGGACUGACACUGACACUGAGGUGCGAAAGCGUGGGUAGCAAACAGGGUUAGAUACCCGAGUAGUC